CUUCGAUGAUGUAGAUAUUAUUUAGAGUCGGGAUUAACGUGAGCGGGGGUGAAGCUUUCAAAAUCGUAGUCAUGCAAAAAUCCGUACCGGAUAAGCAAAUUAAAGCGGCAAGAUGUAUUUGUUUUUUGGGGGUCAUUUGAUUGUUAUAGUGAGUUUUUGUGCGUGUGGAUGCGAGUGUAUACAUUGUGUGUGUGUGUGUUGAGGCCUUUCUUGUUAACGCCCAUCUCCCUUAAUUACAUACAGAUUGUUGUAUCUGCACUACCUUUUCACAGUCUAAUAAUUGCCGAGGCCGUUUAUUUUAUGGGGUGAUAGAAUUUAAUAAGUUCCUAUGAUGGCUAGGUUUGGUGUCCCAGUAAGCACGUCUUUUGUAAGACAAACCACAACUUGCCAAACGCUCUAUAGACCACGCGCGCGCGCGUGUGUGUGUGUGUGUGUGUGUGUGUGUGUGUUUGCGCAUGCGUGUGUUUGUACGUGUGAGAAAGAGACUCUGACACGAUUCAUUGGCUGUACAGUAUACAAAAACAAAAAUCUCAAUUGCAACUCUGACGCGUUAAAUUUACUAUGGUCCUAAAAGCGAGAGAGAGAUCCUGAUAUGAUUCAUUUUGAUAUACAAGGCUCCACAAUCCAAAAACAAUCUCGAUGCAACUCUGUCGCAUUAAAUUGAAAAAUAGGGCUACGUAUCUUCGUAACACUUCAAAUUUAUAUGCAUGACGUCUGUUGAAUUAUGUCCAGGGGGGGGGGCAUCACGCUGAGUUAUCUAAGCCGUUUCCUCCUUUAUUUUUCUGCUUCAUCAUGUUUUUGUAGGGUUUUUUUUCCUCCUCUAAAUUUUCUGGCCUCGAUUUCAGAUUAGACCGUCGUGGUUCCAUGCGGCGUUUUUUCGGUGGGCUGAAACACUAAACCGAUCCAUUAGUAAAUGAGUGCGAGGUACCACAUUGGUCCGUGUGCUGCAGCAGUUGUCGGUUCGAGCCUCAAGGAUCACAUUUCUUUGCCUACGCCCUGCACACUCUUGAAACCGGAUUCCCCUUUUUAAAAUGCUUAUAUAUUUUAAAAAAUGAGAUCGAAGUAGUUGCAUUCGUGUUGCGUGGUUACACGUGUACUCAUAUACUUAAUUAAAUCAAUAUUUUUUUAGAUCAAAGUGUAAAUAAUUAAUAUCAAUUGAAUUGUAAUAAGUGUUAUUUUUUACAUUUACAAAGGUAGUCUGGGGUCAAACUUGCCUGAGUGUUAUAUUUUUUCAAUUGAUUAAUUCUUGAUUACUUUUUACGAUUUUUGUAAAUGCGACUUGUUCGCAAAGGGAACAAUUUUAGACUUUGAUUUACAUAUUCAAACUUAACAUUGGAGAAAGUCAAUUUUCAAUACGGUGUCAUGCAAACACAGACUUCAAUAUGUACAUGGAUGUCAGUCAUAUAUAGCGUUGCAUUGCUCAAGAGCACUUGACCAUGCUCCAAAGCAACCAGCAGCUUUCUUUAUGAGUUGAUGGUUCUCUUCCCGUAAAUCCAACCUCUCUGAAGGUAAUGAAUUUUGGAAAGAAAUAUGAUAACAAUUGAGCCAAUAUUAUAAUGAAUUAUUGUGAGUAUUCGUGGAUUAACUUUUUUUUAAACACAUAUAAUGGUUCGAGUCUUUACAUGAUUUUUGAAUUGUAUUAUCAAAUGCCCUUGCAGGCCAUAUGCGUCUCCACAGACUGUAGAACCCCCACUCAUGAAUGAGGGAGGAGCUUGUGGUUGUCAUGCUCUUUAUGUACCUUUUUAAAUGGUGCUGACUGAAUUACUAUAAUAAUAAUAAUAAUAAUUGUUGUGCUAUAUUAUAUCCGAUAUACAUUUAUAAAAUUCUAACUCAAAAUAUAAAUACACAUGCAAAAAAAAUCGUAUCACCUGACAGGUAGAAACACAAUGUUGUCUGAUAUUGAUUCACACAUUGAAAUCUACAAAAAAAAAAAAAAGAUCAGGACUAUUGACCGGUAAAAAAAAAUGCAAAUGAUUUGGCCUUUGCAUUGCAAUCUGACCUGAUGUGUGUAUAAACACGUGCACGUUGCCGGACAGUAUAACAAAAGGACAUAUGUGGCUGUGUAAAAGCUUGAGUGAAUGAGCUGUCUGAUGAGCAGCUCUCGGGUUUCUCUAAUAUCUCUACCACAUUGCGACGCGCCUCCUCCUUUAACCCGAGCAGCCCGGGGGGCGAAAUUAUUUCAAGAUGUCGACUCUCCAUCGGCCACGGCCAGAGCUGAGCCCCCCGCCCCCGCUCCCCACCCAUUUUACCCGUGCAAGUAAUGCAAUCCUCGGGGAUACUACAGGCUAUCACUUGUUAGUGCUUUCUCAAUAUGAUUUGCGGGGAUUUACCGACUGAAGUGUUCCAUGCGCGUGUGAGGGACAACACAAUAACAAACAUUUCAGUGUUCGUUUUCAGCCCGUUCAAAUACACCUGAGCUGCCCUCUUAAAUUAUUCCGAACGUAUAUAUUCAUUAUUAAUUGUCCCGUUGGGACAAAAGUCUUUUUCGCCGAGCGUUGUCAGGGAAACCAAUGAAAUGCUACAUUUCGCCCCAGUCGAGAGGAGGAAAAAUAAGAGAGACUCGAGCUGGAACACACAAGAGUACGCUUCAUAAAAACGUCACCAUCAAACGGCUUCCCCGUAUAGCGGGGGGUUUAUAUUUGUAAAAUAUGGAGGAAAAGUGAAACGGCUCGCAGAUGGUUUUCCUUCCAUCUAAAUCCAAAGUGCUAUUUCAGCUGCAUUGAGUGGAACAGCGUUGAUGCUGUUUAAAUUAGCCAGAUAAAGUCCUGCAGGGAAGUUUAGUUUAGUCUGACUUUUUUUUUCCUGGGCGGAGAGUGAAUUCAAAUCAUGAGAAAACGUAGAUUUGGCCUUCUCGAUGUGCGUUUUUUUUUUGUACACCGCAAUGAUACGAAAAAACAAACCCCACGAAGUUGUCCAUAAAUGUUAAUGAGCAAAUCAAUUACGCCUUUCGUUGAGUGUGUCCCAAAUAAAAAUGCAGACCCUUCUCCUCAAACACAACACAACUGUUGACAUGAGUGAGUUAAAUGAAAUUGGAGCUGCAAUUAUCAGCUUAACAGAGUUUCCUGUCAUGUUGGAAAAUUAGAGCUGCUACAAGUGCACUGGGGCUUCGACCCCCCCGUCCCCCCGUCAUCAAAAUCAUUACGCAUUUCCUCCAGAGGGCCGACUCCCCAAAUGCGUUGCAAUUACAGCCUCGGCGCGUUUACGGCGCUGCGGUCCGUAAACACACCGCCAGCAAACUAUUUUGUUAGGGCUGGGGGAGGUGUGUGUUUGGGACAGGGGGGGUAUUUUUUGGGGUGCAGAAAUAAACAAACAGCUCUAGCUGAAAAGCGCAAACACGACGAGAUAGUUGAGGCGUUCUUGUGUGCAUGCUGGCAGGGAGGGGGCGCCAAGACAAUACUUUCACACAACUCUUAUAGUAACUCCUUCAACGUGCGCGCGCGUGUGUGUGCGCGUGCGUGUGUCGUCCAUCCCCCUCCAUCAGCUGUUAGCAGCACUGAUCGUCUUUCCCACACUAACUCCUUAUUCCUCAAUAUUGUUCCUCCAAACAGCAGCUCCCAGCAACCUGGGGAGAGCUAAACUUUGCCGGCAGCAGCGGGAAAGCAGCUCAGGAGUGGUGGGUCUCUACGAGCCAGGCUGGUACCCGCCGACCCCUGCCCUCUCAUUAGUGGGACGUGGAGCAGCGGAGUACGGUCCUCCCCAGGUCAUGUUACAUAUGGCUUGCAGUCUGCUGCGCCGCAUUAAAUGUCAGCUUUCAAAGCAUCUAAAAGUUCAGAGGUCAGUGUUUUUAAUAAGGCCGGCGUUCUGGAGGAGUUGCCUACAACCCCCCCACCCCCUCCCCCCACAAGUAUGUUUUGAAUUGCAUUUAGUAAAUAUGGGCAAAAUAGAGUAUAUGGGGAUGGUCAGAUUUUCCCUCAUGAAGGAUGCGGAUUGAAUGUUCAAUGUCACGCUUGUGGAAAAUGAACUGCGCGUAUGAUGCAACAAUGGUGGGUGCUCUUUUUCCUUUGCAUUCAUAGGCUUCAUAAACCAAGGUUGAAGUUUUCUUCCUCCUGCUCCUCAUCCUCUGCGUGAGAGUCAGCCCAUGGCUUCCGCGUGCUCACUCCAAACGGGAUCUUGUUCUGGCCUCUAACAAAGCUGUUUUCACCCUCUUCAAUAUUGCAGGAGGGCCGGGGAGGUCACCCGAUACCCAACAAUCAGCUAAUCCACUGCCCAUGGCGACGAGGUCACCUGUGCACAGGGGCCCAUUAGGUGCGAGGGCUGGGGCGGCCGGACCUCGUGUCCCCUAAGAUACUCGGCGGGCUGGAGGUGGUGACCGCUCAGGUUCGUUUGGGCCAUUAGCGGCGUGCUGACGGUGAGCGUGGUGUAGACUUCGGGGCCGGACGAGGCGGCUGUGCUGGCGGAGACCUGGGCUUGGCUGGAUGGCGUCUCUUCGGAGCUGGGGGUCGAGUAGCCCAUCUGUCCGCUCGGGUCCAGGUGGAGCCCGUGGUGAGGACGGCGCCGUGGUGCAAAGAGGUCAUGGACAGCUUGUCUUGCUGCUGGAAGGAGUCUUCGCUGGACGAGCUCACCGCAACGUCGUUCAGAGCUAUCGUACCUGUGGCCGGACAACAGAGAACACAUCAAUGCUGACAUCACCGAUGGUGCACAACAACCCUACCUUGCGCGAUUGAGGAGGAAGAGGACGAGGAGGAGAGCUGCAGGGGAGGAAGGCCCACAUCGCUGUUAAGCAGCGAGCUUCCAUCACCGUCAGACACGCCGCUGGGUACCUGCACCAGGCUGUAG
Hippocampus zosterae (dwarf seahorse) is the source of this 4776-nucleotide long non-coding RNA. RefSeq lists it as uncharacterized. The record is from RefSeq and is a predicted model, not a curated record. Lineage: Eukaryota; Metazoa; Chordata; Actinopteri; Syngnathiformes; Syngnathidae. The transcript has 4 exons.